UGCUGUCCUGCUGAGAUCCCCCUCGAGCUGCUUUUACAGAGGAGAGACACCAGCAGGGCCAAGGGGGGAAUUCUGGGAAAUCGGGGAUGCCUGAAGCCACUCCCAGAAAGAGAAGCUGACUCCAAGUGACAGGCGGGGCCUGCUGGUGAGAAACAGCCCUGUGCUCCGGUGAGGUCCUGCAACCAGGCAAGCUUCCAAUAUUUUAAAGAUGAGUAACUGAGGCUCAGAGAGAGGACACUGCCUGCCUGGAGUCACACCAAGGAUCUGUGGGGCCCCCCUCAUAUCCAGACCAUAAUGAACACAAGUCAGUGAACCAUCUGGAUUAGUACUGAAAUUUCUUGGUUUUUAUGGACUGGUGGGAUCUAGAAAAGCUUGGACCUCAAGGAUAAAAGUUAUCUCUCCAGCCCUCCAGUCACUGCCCAGUUCUGGUGAAAGUUUUAAGUAGAAUUGCUCCUAAACAAGCUGGGGCUGAAGAUAAAUAUGUUGUCCAUCAGUGGAAGGAAGCAGGACUUGGAAAAUAUUAGUUUGUGAGCACAAAACCCCAAAGAUAAAAGACCAGUUCUUGGAUUUUAUAGACAUCUUGGGAUUUAUUUUCUAAACAGUUGUGCUGGCCUGCACAGAGACAGGAUGAUUGGGUCUUGUAGUGAGAUUCUACAAGACGACAUCUCAGAAUGCAGAGAUUUGGCUUCAGAUUGCUUUUCCAGCAAGAAAAGUGAAGCCCCAUCCUGUUGGCGAUUCAUCUUGCAGUUGUGGAUUGAAGUCGCUGAAGAAGUUGCAUUUAUAUGAAACAUCCUAAAGACUACUCUAUCUUGGAUGGUGAUUGUGGAGAGAUAGAAUGCUGCAGGUUAAGAGACAAAAUUUUCUUGGACUAUCUUAACUCCUUGAAUAGCCAUUUACCUUAACUUAAAAAAAAAAAAAACUAAUCCCACAUUCUUGUAAAUAAUAGAUGAGCUUCUAAGAAUAUAUCUCUAUAUGCAAACCUCCAGUGCCCACUUACCCUAAAGCUAAGGCUGUUGAAAGAUUCCAUCUGAAACCAUAGAAGAGAUGCUCUCCUUUCUGUAGCCCCCCACCUCAAGCUCCUACCAGUGUAAUUGGUCAGUUUAUUAAUUGAUUGAUGACCUUUUUUGAUGAUUAAAGUUCAUGUAACUUUUAUAA
This is a long non-coding RNA of Marmota monax (woodchuck), 1155 nucleotides long. RefSeq lists it as uncharacterized. The record is from RefSeq and is a predicted model, not a curated record. The transcript has 3 exons. Lineage: Eukaryota; Metazoa; Chordata; Mammalia; Rodentia; Sciuridae.